This is a long non-coding RNA of Bolinopsis microptera, 542 nucleotides long. RefSeq lists it as uncharacterized. Lineage: Eukaryota; Metazoa; Ctenophora; Tentaculata; Lobata; Bolinopsidae. The transcript is spliced from 2 exons. The record is from RefSeq and is a predicted model, not a curated record.
UUCAAUGUGUUUUUUAAAGACAGCGAUAAUUGUGCUCGCAUUGAUUGCAGUUGCGUCCACCAUUGAAGCGACAGAAGAAGACAAGAAGAACUUGGCUGAAAUGUCAAAGUUGUGUUACCAAGAGAUAAAUGACAAAUACGUCUGGUAUACAAUCGGUCAGAAGACGCCAUGUGCUCCGGCAGGAGGAGACUUGUUCAAUCAGGGUAGGUGCUGUGGAGACAACUCGUUUGUCAUGGUAUCGAGGCCUGGCAAAUGUCCAAGUUAUAAACAAUGGAGUUGGCUCAAGAGAAAGUGUAGGACUCCAGAAUGGUAUGAGAAUAAUCCACAGUAAUCGAGAAACAGGAAGUCAGGAGCUACAGUGUUUGGAAUUUUGACAUUGUUAUCAUUUUUGGGUAGAAAAUUCUAUAGAAUACAAGUUAUUUGAAUUCAUGUUAUUUGAAUUCAUGUAUGUAUUGAUUCUUUUACUGUCUAUUUUGGGCUACAAUUCACUCUUACUGAAGCGAUAUUUAUUAUGUUGAUUUGAAAACAUUUUCUGAGGAUUA